AGGAGGCCAGGCAGCAACAUUGCUUGGCUGAAGGGCUGCUGAGAACAAACUGGAAGUAAAAGGGAGCUGCAAGGGGUUGGUAGCAUUCCACUCAGCAAUCAGUGCUUCAUCUGAUUGCCAAUAUGGUUGUUUAGACCAAAGAAAUAUCCCUUGGCCAGAGUCUGUGGGGAUUCGUGUUUUCUUCUUACAUGCUGGAGUUCUUUGCUGAACAGGCCUCCUGAGGAAACUGGUUAGAAGUCAUGGAAGACCUGCCACUUGGGAACUUUGGAACCGUGAUGACCACAGAACAGCAAAAUUAAUGGUGGAGGGUGACCCUACUUUGUCCAGGAGCUGGCAGUAACCAAAUUGUUUCCUAGAAAGCAGAAAUGAAGACUUGAAGCAAAUCUGGAUAGAUGCUAAAUGUUACCUGUAGCUAAUGCUUCCCUUUUCUCAUGGUACUGUUGUGUCGUUGGCUAAUGAAGAUAAUCAGAUUCCUUAAAGGCAAGAGGUGCUUGUUGAUAAGCCAACCACCUGUGAGGAUCACUUUAAAACAGGUGGUGGAGAAACAAAUUAACCAAAAUGUCAAAACCAGGCCAUAAUCCUGGAAAAUGUUCCCAGAUGUUUAUUAUUUCAGUACUCAUGACCCCAACCACUUGUGUAUUGAUAGCAUGUGAUGCCGUCUGUUAUAUAUGAAAUAUUCAUUACAUGCAAGUGCCUUCAUGUCCAUCCAUAUGUGGGCAGGAAAAAAAGUCUCUUGUGACAUGAAAUGACCCUGCUUUCUCCAAAUAAACCAUUUUCUUGCUCUUCUAUUGAUUUUGCCAUCUUGGGUAUUCAUCAUAUGCCGUAAUUGGAUACAGAGGAACAGCUGCUGCAUAUUAGAGUUCUGUGGACAAGGAGACCUAACUUGUUCUUGGUACAAUUUCAGGUGUUAGAAAGUACUGUUUUCAUAUCACUCAAUUACUGUCAGCCCCAUUGUAGUAGCUCUUAAAAACUUUCUAAUUUUGCUAGAUAAUUAGACAGGGUUAUGUCUGUCCUUGCAAGAGACCAAUAUUCUGAGGAAUAGGGUAGAUCCCUUUGUCUCAGAAUUACUUAGUUAUUUAAGGGCAUUUGACAAAACUUUACAGCUAUUACAGAUAUAAAUAUUUAUUCCUUAUACUUUGUCCUCCUGCCUCCUUUUAACCAAGGACCUCAAACUGCCUCAAAUUUUACAAAGCUGAGCAAGUAACAUGAACAGAUAGAUCCUCAGGGAUCCCUCUGCCUCUGUAGCAGCUCUGAUUCCUAGUGUUUUUCACCAUUCACCAACUUAUUGCAGUUAAAUUGCCAAAUAUGGCUCCAGUAUUUGUGAAAACAAGUAGGGGGAGUGCUAUAGAGAUAGUUGAUCAUUUUUUGAAUUUGUAAACCAUGAUCAGAUGUUAAUUGGUUUUGGACAGAGCCUUUGAUCACUAAAUCAUCUCAUUAUUAGACCUGCUGCUAGGUAACUGCAAUCAGCUGCAAAAAACAUGUUUCCUAAGGAUUUAUUUCAGAGAGCCAGAGAGUCACGUUGCAGCUAGAGUUUUGCUGUGUGUUUUUUUUUUUUUUCCAGGAACUGGAGCAUAGCUCUAAAAACAUCUUUUUUUUUCAGUGCCUUUUUAUGUAUUAGAAUGGAGGAAGGGUAGAUAUGCACCUGAGAGGCUGAGUGGUUUGCUAAUAUAACUCUUGCAGUACUGUAUUAUUUAGAAUAUUCAGAGAAAAUGUAAAUUCCGUGUUUCAUGUUAAUGUUAACUCAGUUGAUGACUGAUUUUUAAGUACUUGAAACAUAUAAACUUCUCAUGCUGUUGUUCUGAGUAUUUUAAGAAUGCAUGGAGAGAUUGACAAUAAACAUUUGUGAAUAUGGCACAUGAACUAACGUUAGCAGCUGAAGUGUCAAACAGCCAUU
Alligator mississippiensis (American alligator) is the source of this 1894-nucleotide long non-coding RNA. RefSeq lists it as uncharacterized. The record is from RefSeq and is a predicted model, not a curated record. Lineage: Eukaryota; Metazoa; Chordata; Crocodylia; Alligatoridae. The transcript is spliced from 4 exons.